Molecule: unclassified non-coding RNA, 293 nt
Filed under: Russula sp.
Lineage: Eukaryota; Fungi; Basidiomycota; Agaricomycetes; Russulales; Russulaceae
Description: partial internal transcribed spacer region
Rfam family: Eukaryotic small subunit ribosomal RNA (bases 1-46)
Source: RNAcentral
AAGUCGUAACAAGGUUUCCGUAGGUGAACCUGCGGAAGGAUCAUUAUCGUACAAUGGAGGUGCUGGGGUUGUCGCUGACCUUUGAAAGGGUCGUGCACGCCUUGGUGCUUUCACACAUAAUCCAUCUCACCCCUUUUGUGCAUCACCGCGUGGGGGCCCCUUUUAGCUAGUUCUGAAGGGGGCUUUCACGUUUAUACAAACGCACCCUUUUAAAUGCAAUAUGUAGAAUGUCUUACUUUUUUUGCGAUCACACGCAAUCAAUACAACUUUCAACAACGGAUCUCUUGGCUCUC